CGAGGACGCGGAAUUCGAUUCCCAAUUUGACAUCUGAACUUCACUCUUGGUUCCGGGAAUUGAAAACUUGGAUACUUAUUUAUGUUUUCCUUUUGAAAUGUAUUCGAAUACUAUGACUUAUUUUGUGGGCUGUAAUGCGUUAAUUGGGAUAAUGUACUUUCCUUUUGGAUUGCCACUUGAAACUGAAAAAUGUGUAAACCCUAAUUUGAUUGCUUGGCUUGUAAGUUUGUAUUAGGGAUUUAUGUAUUUAUCUAUCCGGAUUGGUACGACUUUAUACCUUGGUACGUAGCACGUGGGACGUUUAAGAGCCUCAA
This is a long non-coding RNA of Coffea arabica (coffee), 314 nucleotides long. RefSeq lists it as uncharacterized. NCBI's taxonomy places the organism in Eukaryota, Viridiplantae, Streptophyta, Magnoliopsida, Gentianales, Rubiaceae. The record is from RefSeq and is a predicted model, not a curated record.